Molecule: ribosomal RNA, 433 nt
Filed under: uncultured bacterium
Lineage: Bacteria
Description: partial 16S ribosomal RNA
Rfam family: Bacterial small subunit ribosomal RNA
Source: RNAcentral
AACGAACGCUGGCGGCAUGCCUAACACAUGCAAGUCGAACGAGACCUUCGGGUCUAGUGGCGCACGGGUGCGUAACGCGUGGUAACCUGCCCUUAGGUUCGGAAUAACUCCCCGAAAGGGGUGCUAAUACCGGAUAAUGUCUUCGGACCAAAGAUUUAUCGCCUUUGGAUGGGCCCGCGUUGGAUUAGCUAGUUGGUAGGGUAAAAGCCUACCAAGGCGACGAUCCAUAGCUGGUCUGAGAGGAUGAUCAGCCACACUGGGACUGAGACACGGCCCAGACUCCUACGGGAGGCAGCAGUAGGGAAUAUUAGAACAUGGGCGAAAGCCUGAUCCAGCAAUGCCGCGUGAGUGAUGAAGGCCUUAGGGUUGUAAAGCUCUUUUACCCGGGAUGAUAAUGACAGUACCGGGAGAAUAAGCCCCGGCUAACUCCGUG